GUUUCUUGAUAGAGAUUUUAAUGUCCCAUUUUAUAGUGAAGCAUAUCUUUUAAUUAUAAAUUUCAAAUAAUGAUUUUGUUGUUUACUUAUAUAUCUUCUUAUCAAGAAGAAUGUUUCCACUUUAUCUUGUCCAAAACGUGGUCAAGUUACUGAAUCAUAUUAUGACACUUGGUUAAAUGUGUUGAUACCAAGUAUGUAAAAUGAAAAGUAUGUUCUCUAUAUCAUAUUGAGUUAAAUGCUCAUAGCAAUACCAAAUAUAUAUGUUAAAUGUUGCUAAGAUUUGUCAUUGAGAGUUUCACAUUAUCUUAGGUGUUGUUGGGAAUGAAUAGAUAUUAUU
RNAcentral lists this long non-coding RNA (337 nucleotides) under Trifolium pratense (red clover). Its description in RNAcentral is "long non-coding RNA (TPRA_LNC013587)". Lineage: Eukaryota; Viridiplantae; Streptophyta; Magnoliopsida; Fabales; Fabaceae. The record is from RNAcentral.